GGGAAUGGCGGCGUGCCUAUACAUGCAGUCGAGCGAAUGGAUUAAGAGCUUGCUCUUAUGAAGUUAGCGGCGGACGGGUGAGUAACACGUGGGUAACCUGCCCAUAAGACUGGGAUAACUCCGGGAAACCGGGGCUAAUACCGGAUAAUAUUUUGAACCGCAUGGUUCGAAAUUGAAAGGCGGCUUCGGCUGUCACUUAUGGAUGGACCCGCGUCGCAUUAGCUAGUUGGUGAGGUAACGGCUCACCAAGGCAACGAUGCGUAGCCGACCUGAGAGGGUGAUCGGCCACACUGGGACUGAGACACGGCCCAGACUCCUACGGGAGGCAGCAGUAGGGAAUCUUCCGCAAUGGACGAAAGUCUGACGGAGCAACGCCGCGUGAGUGAUGAAGGCUUUCGGG
RNAcentral lists this ribosomal RNA (400 nucleotides) under Bacillus anthracis (anthrax bacterium). RNAcentral describes it as "bacterial SSU rRNA". It matches the Rfam family "Bacterial small subunit ribosomal RNA", at positions 37 to 422 of the family's 1533-position model. The record is from RNAcentral. Lineage: Bacteria; Bacillati; Bacillota; Bacilli; Caryophanales; Bacillaceae.